UACAGAGGUCUCAAGCGUUGUUCGGAUUCAUUGGGCGUAAAGGGCGCGUAGGCUGCGGGGCAAGUCGGGUGUGAAAUCUCAGAGCUCAACUCUGAAACUGCACUCGAUACUGCUUUGCUUGAGGACUGGAGAGGAGAUUGGAAUUCACGGUGUAGCAGUGAAAUGCGUAGAUAUCGUGAGGAAGACCAGUGGCGAGGGCGGAUCUCUGGACAGUUCCUGACGCUGAGGCGCGAAGGCCAGGGGAGCAAACGGG
This 253-nucleotide ribosomal RNA is filed under the name uncultured bacterium. Its description in RNAcentral is "partial 16S ribosomal RNA". It matches the Rfam family "Bacterial small subunit ribosomal RNA", at positions 524 to 776 of the family's 1533-position model. The record is from RNAcentral.